Molecule: long non-coding RNA, 833 nt
Filed under: Mytilus galloprovincialis (Mediterranean mussel)
Lineage: Eukaryota; Metazoa; Mollusca; Bivalvia; Mytilida; Mytilidae
Source: RNAcentral
CACUUAUGGUCUUCAAAAAUAACGAUUGCGGGAUGACGGACAGGAAGACUUCAAACGUAACAGUGUGAACUAGCUGUCAGAAACUUAAGUACUCUCAGAUCCUUUCUUGCUAUUGUCGUUUUGUUCUUCUGGUAAACAAGUGAUUCUUUCAUUGUUGAAGACUCUCUAGCGACUAUAAAGAUGAACAGGAAUAAAACGCUGACCAUUGAUAAUUUGUAUUUUUGUUAAGCUCUGACUUUGUGUUCGAUAAGGUCCCGUGGACUUUUACUCCAUAUUCCUUUAUUUUCUAUAAAGGCGUCUGUCUUGACAGUAAGUUGACACGACUUAAUACAAGUUAAACCCUUAAAUGUAAGACACCAGAUGGAAAUACUCAAAAAGGAGAGCCAGUUUGGUAUUCUGUAAUGUUAGAGUUCAAUUCUUCAUGAAGAAACGACUAUAUGUUUUCUGUAUUCAGCAUAGAAUCAUAUCUUCUAAACUAUAUUUUUUCGCACAAUGUCUGGAUAUUGGUGGACAUGCAUCAUUGCGAAACCAGACAUUUACAAAUGAAAAUUAAUACUUAUACUAUAGCCAUUUAGUAGGAAAGUAAAUGCACAAAAGACAAGUAAUUCAGAAACAUGCAUGGAUCACGCAAAAUUAUGCAGGGGCGACACCGGAGUAAUGGGAGUUUGCUUCUUGCAAGACAUUCGCCGUGAAAACAAUUUGAUAUGAAGACAAGCCUUUGUUUCAACUUUGUUUUAAAAUUUCAAACAUGAGGCUGUUACGGCCCAGGUCAAUGUUCUUAAGCAACACAUAUUUUCCUUUCAUUUUGCUGUUAGCUUUCUGAUAUAAAUUUU